GAUGAACGCUGGCGGCGUGCCUAAUACAUGCAGGUCGAGCGAACAGACGAGGAGCUUGCUCCUCUGACGUUAGCGGCGGACGGGUGAGUAACACGUGGAUAACCUACCUAUAAGACUGGGAUAACUUCGGGAAACCGGAGCUAAUACCGGAUAACAUGUUGAACCGCAUGGUUCAACAGUGAAAGACGGUUUUGCUGUCACUUAUAGAUGGAUCCGCGCCGCAUUAGCUAGUUGGUAAGGUAACGGCUUACCAAGGCAACGAUGCGUAGCCGACCUGAGAGGGUGAUCGGCCACACUGGAACUGAGACACGGUCCAGACUCCUACGGGAGGCAGCAGUAGGGAAUCUUCCGCAAUGGGCGAAAGCCUGACGGAGCAACGCCGCGUGAGUGAAGAAGGUCUUCGGAUCGUAAAACUCUGUUAUUAGGGAAGAACAAAUGUGUAAGUAACUAUGCACGUCUUGACGGUACCUAAUCAGAAAGCCACGGCUAACUACGUG
This 497-nucleotide ribosomal RNA is filed under the name uncultured bacterium. RNAcentral's name for it is "partial 16S ribosomal RNA". It matches the Rfam family "Bacterial small subunit ribosomal RNA", at positions 28 to 507 of the family's 1533-position model. The record is from RNAcentral.